Molecule: unclassified non-coding RNA, 373 nt
Filed under: uncultured Bacteroidia bacterium
Lineage: Bacteria; Pseudomonadati; Bacteroidota; Bacteroidia
Description: contains 16S-23S intergenic spacer region
Source: RNAcentral
UCACCGCUUGCGCGGGCAGUUCUAUUAGAGUCCCCAGCAUUACCUGAUGGCAACUAAUAGUAGGGGUUGCGCUCGUUGCAGGACUUAACCUAACACCUCACGGCACGAGCUGACGACAGCCAUGCAGCACCUAGUUUCGGGUCAUUGCUGACUAACGUAUUUCCACGUUAUUCCCUAACUUUCAAGCCCUGGUAAGGUUCCUCGCGUAUCAUCGAAUUAAACCACAUGCUCCUCUGCUUGUGCGGGCCCCCGUCAAUUCCUUUGAGUUUCAACCUUGCGGUCGUACUUCCCAGGUGGAUUACUUAAUGCUUUCGCUUAGACGCGUACGGUGUAUUGCACACAUCGAGUAAUCAUCGUUUAGGGCGUGGACUAC